GAAUGAAGGAAGCAUGGUACUGUGCACGGAAACUAAACUAUAGAUCGACAUGUCUGCCAUCUCUGAUUUUUCGUGAUGAGACGGCCUGGUUUAGAUCUACAUUC
Molecule: small nucleolar RNA, 104 nt
Filed under: Arabidopsis thaliana (thale cress)
Lineage: Eukaryota; Viridiplantae; Streptophyta; Magnoliopsida; Brassicales; Brassicaceae
Also listed under: 2 other names
Description: Small nucleolar RNA snoR100
Rfam family: Small nucleolar RNA snoR100
Source: Rfam by way of RNAcentral